Molecule: long non-coding RNA, 229 nt
Organism: Tripterygium wilfordii
Lineage: Eukaryota; Viridiplantae; Streptophyta; Magnoliopsida; Celastrales; Celastraceae
Exons: 3
Source: RefSeq, a predicted model, not a curated record
AGGGAUGGACAAUGAUCUUCGUUGCACAUGGUCUUCCAUGUCUGUUCCAUUAUCCCCUUGUUGAAUUCACUAGGUGACAAAAGAGAAAACAGAGGAAACUCUGUACAACGUUUGGAACACUACUCUAACUCUAUGGGAUUCAAUAAUCAGGAAAAUAAUCAACCUCCAACAGCUGAAGCUAGAGCUUAAGUUGAAUUCGGUUUUGAAUCAUCAAAUCAGCUACCUUGAU